This 282-nucleotide ribosomal RNA is filed under the name uncultured bacterium. Its description in RNAcentral is "partial 16S ribosomal RNA". It matches the Rfam family "Bacterial small subunit ribosomal RNA", at positions 488 to 771 of the family's 1533-position model. The record is from RNAcentral.
CGGGGACGUAACUACGUGCCAGCAGCCGCGGUAAGUACGUAGGUCCCGAGCGUUGUCCGGAUUUAUUGGGCGUAAAGCGAGCGCAGGCGGUUUGAUAAGUCUGAAGUUAAAGGCUGUGGCUCAACCAUAGUUCGCUUUGGAAACUGUCAAACUUGAGUGCAGAAGGGGAGAGUGGAAUUCCAUGUGUAGCGGUGAAAUGCGUAGAUAUAUGGAGGAACACCGGUGGCGAAAGCGGCUCUCUGGUCUGUAACUGACGCUGAGGCUCGAAAGCGUGGGGAGCGG